RNAcentral lists this ribosomal RNA (200 nucleotides) under Enterococcus faecium. Its description in RNAcentral is "partial 16S ribosomal RNA". It matches the Rfam family "Bacterial small subunit ribosomal RNA", at positions 1 to 185 of the family's 1533-position model. The record is from RNAcentral. Lineage: Bacteria; Bacillati; Bacillota; Bacilli; Lactobacillales; Enterococcaceae.
UUUUAUGAGAGUUUGAUCCUGGCUCAGGACGAACGCUGGCGGCGUGCCUAAUACAUGCAAGUCGAACGCUUCUUUUUCCACCGGAGCUUGCUCCACCGGAAAAAGAAGAGUGGCGAACGGGUGAGUAACACGUGGGUAACCUGCCCAUCAGAAGGGGAUAACACUUGGAAACAGGUGCUAAUACCGUAUAACAAUCAAAA